AACUUAGGUUGACCUAUGGCCUUCAAAGCCUUGAGCGAAGGUUAGACCCCUUCAGUUUCUGUAGGACUUG
RNAcentral lists this transfer RNA (70 nucleotides) under Lithobates zweifeli (Zweifel's frog). RNAcentral's name for it is "Rana zweifeli (Zweifel's frog) tRNA-Trp". The stretch from base 1 to 61 matches the Rfam family "tRNA". From Rfam's summary of the family: Transfer RNA (tRNA) molecules are approximately 80 nucleotides in length. Their secondary structure includes four short double-helical elements and three loops (D, anti-codon, and T loops). Further hydrogen bonds mediate the characteristic L-shaped molecular structure. tRNAs have two regions of fundamental functional importance: the anti-codon, which is responsible for specific mRNA codon recognition, and the 3' end, to which the tRNAs corresponding amino acid is attached (by aminoacyl-tRNA synthetases). tRNAs cope with the degeneracy of the genetic code in two manners: having more than one tRNA (with a specific anti-codon) for a particular amino acid; and 'wobble' base-pairing, i.e. permitting non-standard base-pairing at the 3rd anti-codon position. The record is from RNAcentral. Lineage: Eukaryota; Metazoa; Chordata; Amphibia; Anura; Ranidae.